Molecule: transfer RNA, 68 nt
Filed under: uncultured Methanobrevibacter sp.
Lineage: Archaea; Methanobacteriati; Methanobacteriota; Methanobacteria; Methanobacteriales; Methanobacteriaceae
Rfam family: tRNA
About the family: Transfer RNA (tRNA) molecules are approximately 80 nucleotides in length. Their secondary structure includes four short double-helical elements and three loops (D, anti-codon, and T loops).
Source: RNAcentral
GCCUGUGGCCUAGCCAGAUAAGGCGUCCGGCUUUUAACCGAAAGAUCAGGGGUUCAAAUCCCCUUGGG